This 207-nucleotide ribosomal RNA is filed under the name uncultured bacterium. RNAcentral describes it as "partial 16S ribosomal RNA". It matches the Rfam family "Bacterial small subunit ribosomal RNA", at positions 1294 to 1500 of the family's 1533-position model. The record is from RNAcentral.
CGGAUUGAAGGCUGAAAUUCGCCUUCAUGAAGCUGGAAUUGCUAGUAAUGGCAGGUCAGCAUACUGCCGUGAAUACGUUCCCGGGCCUUGUACACACCGCCCGUCACACCAUGAGAGUUGGAAAUACCCGAAGCCUGUGAGCUAACAGUAAUGAGGCAGCAGUCGAAGGUAGAGCCAAUGAUUGGGGUGAAGUCGUAACAAGGUAUC